This 403-nucleotide ribosomal RNA is filed under the name bacterium. RNAcentral's name for it is "partial 16S ribosomal RNA". It matches the Rfam family "Bacterial small subunit ribosomal RNA", at positions 355 to 776 of the family's 1533-position model. The record is from RNAcentral.
UGGGGAAUAUUGCACAAUGGGGGAAACCCUGAUGCAGCGACGCCGCGUGAACGAAGAAGGUAUUCGUAUCGUAAAGUUCUGUCCUAUGGGAAGAUAAUGACAGUACCAUAGAAGAAAGCUCCGGCUAAAUACGUGCCAGCAGCCGCGGUAAUACGUAUGGAGCGAGCGUUGUCCGGAAUUAUUGGGCGUAAAGGGUACGCAGGCGGUUUAAUAAGUCGAAUGUUAAAGAUCGGGGCUCAACCCCGCAAAGCAUUGGAAACUGAUAAACCUGAGUAGUGGAGAGGAAAGUGGAAUUCCUAGUGUAGUGGUGAAAUACGUAGAUAUUAGGAGGAAUACCAGUAGCGAAGGCGACUUUCUGGACACAAACUGACGCUGAGGUACGAAAGCGUGGGGAGCAAACAGG